AACGCUAGCUACAGGCUUAACACAUGCAAGUCGAGGGGCAGCACAGUGUAGCAAUACAUGGGUGGCGACCGGCGCACGGGUGCGUAACGCGUAUCCAACCUUCCCGUUACUCAGGGAUAGCCUUCCGAAAGGGAGAUUAAUACCUGAUGGUGUUCAAAUUCCGCAUGCUAUUUGAACUAAAGAUUUAUCGGUAACGGAUGGGGAUGCGUGACAUUAGGUAGAUGGCGGGGUAACGGCCCACCAUGCCUACGAUGUCUAGGGGUUCUGAGAGGAAGGUCCCCCACACUGGAACUGAGACACGGUCCAGACUCCUACGGGAGGCAGCAGUGAGGAAUAUUGGUCAAUGGUCGGAAGACUGAACCAGCCAAGUAGCGUGAAGGAUGAAGGUUCUAUGGAUUGUAAACUUCUUUUAUACGGGAAUAAAACCACCUACGUGUAGGUGCUUGUAUGUACCGUAUGAAUAAGCAUCGGCUAACUCCGUGCCAGCAGCCGCGGUAAUACGGAGGAUGCGAGCGUUAUCCGGAUUUAUUGGGUUUAAAGGGAGCGUAGACGGGAGAUUAAGUCAGUUGUGAAAGGCUGCGGCUCAACCGCAGCACUGCAGUUGAUACUGGUUUCCUUGAGUUCGGUUGAGGUGUAUGGAAUUCGUGGUGUAGCGGUGAAAUGCUUAGAUAUCACGAAGAACUCCGAUUG
This 690-nucleotide ribosomal RNA is filed under the name uncultured bacterium. Its description in RNAcentral is "bacterial SSU rRNA". It matches the Rfam family "Bacterial small subunit ribosomal RNA", at positions 32 to 715 of the family's 1533-position model. The record is from RNAcentral.